CACUAGUCGAGAGCUGGCGUCGCUCUUUUGAUGAGUCCAUGGUAGGACGAAACUAGUG
This is a non-coding RNA of Helianthus annuus (common sunflower), 58 nucleotides long. The record is from Rfam. Lineage: Eukaryota; Viridiplantae; Streptophyta; Magnoliopsida; Asterales; Asteraceae.